UGGGGAAUAUUGCGCAAUGGACGAAAGUCUGACGCAGCGACGCCGCGUGGAGGAUGAAGGCCUUCGGGUUGUAAACUUCUGUUAGAUGGGAAGAAAUGUGUAGUUAUAAUACAGCUACAAGAUGACGGUACUAUCAAAGAAAGCACCGGCUAACUUCGUGCCAGCAGCCGCGGUAAUACGAAGGGUGCGAGCGUUAUUCGGAGUAAUUGGGCGUAAAGGGUGCGUAGGCGGUGUAUUAAGUCAACUGUUAAAUACCUUGGCCUAACCAAGGAAAGGCGGUUGAUACUGGUAUGCUUGAGGAUGGGAGAGAGAAGUGGAAUUCUCGGAGUAGCGGUAAAAUGCGUAGAUCUCGAGAGGAACACCAAUGGCGAAGGCAGCUUCUUGGUCCAUUCCUGACGCUGAGGCACGAAAGCGUGGGGAGCAAACAGG
This 429-nucleotide ribosomal RNA is filed under the name uncultured bacterium. RNAcentral describes it as "bacterial SSU rRNA". It matches the Rfam family "Bacterial small subunit ribosomal RNA", at positions 355 to 776 of the family's 1533-position model. The record is from RNAcentral.